This 495-nucleotide ribosomal RNA is filed under the name uncultured bacterium. Its description in RNAcentral is "bacterial SSU rRNA". It matches the Rfam family "Bacterial small subunit ribosomal RNA", at positions 16 to 507 of the family's 1533-position model. The record is from RNAcentral.
AUCCUGGCUCAGAUUGAACGCUGGCGGCAGGCCUUACACAUGCAAGUCGAGCGGUAGAGAGGUGCUUGCAUCUCUUGAGAGCGGCGGACGGGUGAGUAAUGCCUAGGAAUCUGCCUAGUGGUGGGGGAUAACGUUCGGAACGGACGCUAAUACCGCAUACGUCCUACGGGAGAAAGCGGGGGAUCUUCGGACCUCGCGCCAUUAGAUGAGCCUAGGUCGGAUUAGCUAGUUGGUGAGGUAAUGGCUCACCAAGGCGACGAUCCGUAACUGGUCUGAGAGGAUGAUCAGUCACACUAGAACUGAGACACGGUCCAGACUCCUACGGGAGGCAGCAGUGGGGAAUAUUGGACAAUGGGCGAAAGCCUGAUCCAGCCAUGCCGCGUGUGUGAAGAAGGUCUUCGGAUUGUAAAGCACUUUAAGUUGGGAGGAAGGGUAGUAACCUAAUACGUUGCUACUUUGACGUUACCGACAGAAUAAGCACCGGCUAACUUCGUG